RNAcentral lists this ribosomal RNA (494 nucleotides) under uncultured bacterium. RNAcentral describes it as "partial 16S ribosomal RNA". It matches the Rfam family "Bacterial small subunit ribosomal RNA", at positions 28 to 507 of the family's 1533-position model. The record is from RNAcentral.
GACGAACGCUGGCGGCGUGCUUAACACAUGCAAGUCGAACGGAAAGGCCUGCUUUCCCUUGUGGAUUGCGGGUACUCGUGUGGCGAACGGGUGAGUAACACGUGAGUGAUCUGCCCCCAACUUGGGUAUAAGCCUGGGAAACUGGGUCUAAUUCCCGAUAGGACUGCAGGGUGGUGCCUGUGGUGGAAAACGAUUUUCUAGUGGUUGGGGAUGAGCUCGCGGCCUAUCAGCUUGUUGGUGGGGUAAUGGCCUACCAAGGCGGCGACGGGUAGCCGGCCUGAGAGGGUGGACGGCCACAUUGGGACUGAGAUACGGCCCAGACUCCUACGGGAGGCAGCAGUGGGGAAUAUUGCACAAUGGGCGGAAGCCUGAUGCAGCGACGCCGCGUGGGGGAUGACGGCCUUCGGGUUGUAAACUCCUUUCGACCGCGAGGAAGCCACCUGGUUGGAAGGGUGGUGACGGUAGUGGUAGAAGAAGCACCGGCUAACUACGUG